Molecule: ribosomal RNA, 174 nt
Filed under: Hyla felixarabica
Lineage: Eukaryota; Metazoa; Chordata; Amphibia; Anura; Hylidae
Description: partial 16S ribosomal RNA
Source: RNAcentral
ACGUGAUCUGAGUUCAGACCGGAGUAAUCCAGGUCAGUUUCUAUCUAUAAAGAGCUUUUUCUAGUACGAAAGGACCGAAAAAACAUGGCCCAUGCAUAAUACAAGCCAUACUUGAUAAUUUAUGAUUUAAACUCAAUAAAUAUUCAAUCUCCGACAGAACUCUAAACAAGAGUA